This is a non-coding RNA of Equus caballus (horse), 119 nucleotides long. The record is from Rfam. NCBI's taxonomy places the organism in Eukaryota, Metazoa, Chordata, Mammalia, Perissodactyla, Equidae.
GUCUACGGCCAUGCCACCCUGAACACGCCUGAUCUCGUCUGAUCUCAGAAGCCAAGCAGGGUUGGGCCUGGUUAGUACUCGGAUGGGAGACAUAAAUGAGGGGGACGCUGCUGUUGGCA